RNAcentral lists this long non-coding RNA (405 nucleotides) under Linum usitatissimum (flax). RNAcentral's name for it is "long non-coding RNA (LUSI_LNC003909)". Lineage: Eukaryota; Viridiplantae; Streptophyta; Magnoliopsida; Malpighiales; Linaceae. The record is from RNAcentral.
AAAUCACAUAAAGACAGUCAAGGAAGGAAGUUGCCUCAAAGGCCUUAAUCAAGGGAAUAGGCUAUGAUGAAUAAUGGAAUGAAAGAAGAGGGUAAAGAAGGCAUUUCCCCUUCCCCGGAAAUUUUAGCUCCCUUUUAGGUCAUACCUAUCACUAAUCAAGCAAGUCGAGACAAGGGUCCACACCUUCGAAUUUCUUCUAUAUUUCGUAUAUUAUAUAUAGCGAAUGCGGAUGUAAGCAAAAAUCAUCCAUCCCAGCCAUUAAACUCUCGCAAUCUGCUCGUGAAGUUGCUCGCAUAUAUAAGGAGAGAAAGAACCUCAAUUCACAGUCAGAGGCAAUAGCCCGCCUCCUCCCGGGAUUGGUUGUGAGCAGAUUAAAACUCCUGGCCAAGGGUCUGACUUUCUUCC